GACGAACGCUGGCGGCGUGCUUAACACAUGCAAGUCGAACGGAAAGGCCCUGCUUUUGUGGGGUGCUCGAGUGGCGAACGGGUGAGUAACACGUGAGUAACCUGCCCUUGACUUUGGGAUAACUUCAGGAAACUGGGGCUAAUACCGGAUAGGAGCUCCUGCUGCAUGGUGGGGGUUGGAAAGUUUCGGCGGUUGGGGAUGGACUCGCGGCUUAUCAGCUUGUUGGUGGGGUAGUGGCUUACCAAGGCUUUGACGGGUAGCCGGCCUGAGAGGGUUACCGGCCCCAUUGGGACUGUGAUACGGCCCAGACUCCUACGGGAGGCAGCAGUGGGGAAUAUUGCACAAUGGGCGGAAGCCUGAUGCAGCAGCGCCGCGUGCGGGAUGACGGCCUUCGGGUUGUAAACCGCUUUCGCCUGUGACGAAGCGUGAGUGACGGUAAUGGGUAAAGAAGCACCGGCUAACUACGUG
Molecule: ribosomal RNA, 468 nt
Filed under: uncultured bacterium
Lineage: Bacteria
Description: partial 16S ribosomal RNA
Rfam family: Bacterial small subunit ribosomal RNA
Source: RNAcentral